GUGAGGAUUGCUAAUGUGAGAUGAGAAUCUACUCACAAACAUUAAGAAGGUAACAUGAUGAGUGAAGUAAAGGUAGGUUAUAGUUGAAAGAGCCACAGGAAACUCUGUGUCCUUGCUUCCCUUUCACGCGUAUGGACUCAUAUUCCAUGAUUGAAAGGGGCUGCUACUAAGAGAAAGCAUGCUCUCAGAUAACCGUUUUCAGAUAACGUCGAGAAAGUGAGAGUAUACACAGAUCAACAUGAUGGUCCACUUAACGGGGGAAGAGAGUAAAAUGUUGGUGUCACUGACAAGGAUGGCAACAUUUAAAUGUUCAGAUCCUUACAGGAGAAGCAUUGCAGUCACUUGACAAUCUCAAGCUAUGUGUUUCUUCAGUGCUUCUUGAAAACAUUUAUAAUACAGAAGAUGGUUUUAAAAAAUGUAUAACUUUUUCAAUGAAAAUGUGAAUUUCA
This 449-nucleotide long non-coding RNA is filed under the name Homo sapiens (human). Its description in RNAcentral is "HSALNT0361998". The record is from RNAcentral. Lineage: Eukaryota; Metazoa; Chordata; Mammalia; Primates; Hominidae.